AGUGAACGCUGGCGGUAGGCCUAACACAUGCAAGUCGAACGGCAGCACAGUAAGAGCUUGCUCUUACGGGUGGCGAGUGGCGGACGGGUGAGGAAUACAUCGGAAUCUACUUUUUCGUGGGGGAUAACGUAGGGAAACUUACGCUAAUACCGCAUACGACCUACGGGUGAAAGCAGGGGAUCUUCGGACCUUGCGCGAUUGAAUGAGCGGAUGUCGGAUUAGCUAGUUGGCGGGUUAAAGGCCAACCAAGGCGCCGAUCCGUGGCUGGUCUGAGAGGAUGGUCAGCCACACUGGAACUGGGACACGGUCCAGACUCCUACGGGAGGCAGCAGUGGGGAAUAGUGGACAAUGGGCGCAAGCCUGAUCCAGCCAUACCGCGUGGGUGAAGAAGGCCUUCGGGUUGUAAAGCCCUUUUGUUGGGAAAGAAAAGCAGCAGGUUAAUACCCCGCUGUUCUGACGGUACCCAAAGAAUAAGCACCGGCUAACUUCGUG
RNAcentral lists this ribosomal RNA (492 nucleotides) under uncultured bacterium. Its description in RNAcentral is "partial 16S ribosomal RNA". It matches the Rfam family "Bacterial small subunit ribosomal RNA", at positions 29 to 507 of the family's 1533-position model. The record is from RNAcentral.